This 496-nucleotide ribosomal RNA is filed under the name uncultured bacterium. RNAcentral's name for it is "partial 16S ribosomal RNA". It matches the Rfam family "Bacterial small subunit ribosomal RNA", at positions 28 to 506 of the family's 1533-position model. The record is from RNAcentral.
GAUGAACGCUGGCGGCGUGCCUAAUACAUGCAAGUCGAGCGAACAGACGAGGAGCUUGCUCCUCUGACGUUAGCGGCGGACGGGUGAGUAACACGUGGAUAACCUACCUAUAAGACUGGGAUAACUUCGGGAGACCGGAGCUAAUACCGGAUAAUAUAUUGAACCGCAUGGUUCAAUAGUGAAAGACGGUUUUGCUGUCACUUAUAGAUGGAUCCGCGCCGCAUUAGCUAGUUGGUAAGGUAACGGCUUACCAAGGCAACGAUGCGUAGCCGACCUGAGAGGGUGAUCGGCCACACUGGAACUGAGACACGGUCCAGACUCCUACGGGAGGCAGCAGUAGGGAAUCUUCCGCAAUGGGCGAAAGCUUGACGGGGCAACGCCGCGUGAGUGAUGAAGGUCUUCGGAUCGUAAAACUCUGCUAUUAGGGAAGAACAAAUGUGUAAGUAACUAUGCACGUCUUGACGGUACCUAAUCAGAAAGCCACGGCUAACUACGU